RNAcentral lists this small RNA (5194 nucleotides) under Pongo abelii (Sumatran orangutan). RNAcentral describes it as "retained intron". Lineage: Eukaryota; Metazoa; Chordata; Mammalia; Primates; Hominidae. The record is from RNAcentral.
CUGCCACGACGACGCGGCCAAGUUCCUCCAUCUGCUCAUGAGCCCCGGCUGCAACUACCUGGUGCAGGAGGACUUUGUCCCCUUCUUGCAGGACGUGGUGAACACGCACCCGGGGCUGUCGUUCCUGAAGGAGGCGUCCGAGUUCCACUCGCGCUACAUCACCACGGUCAUCCAGCGGAUCUUCUACGCCGUGAACCGGUCCUGGUCCGGCAGGAUCACCUGCGCCGAGCUGCGGAGGAGCUCCUUCCUGCAGAACGUGGCGCUGCUGGAGGAGGAGGCCGACAUCAACCAGCUGACCGAAUUCUUCUCCUACGAGCACUUCUACGUCAUCUACUGCAAGUUCUGGGAGCUGGACACGGACCACGACCUGCUCAUCGACGCGGACGACCUGGCGCGGCACAAUGACCACGCCAUUUCUACCAAGAUGAUCGACAGGAUCUUCUCAGGAGCAGUCACACGGUACGUACGGCUCAGGCACCUGACGGCAGCCAUUCCCUGCGAGGACCCAGCUCCAUCUCCUCAUCGUUUCCUGACAUGAGCUUGUCGUGUCCCGACAGCGAGUGGCUGUCACCCCAGGCCCCGAGGAGGGGGCCACGACAACGAGUGCCUGUCACCCCAGGCCCCGAGGAGGGGGGCACGUGUCUCUGUGACGUGAAACCCUAUGGGGGGGGUGGUGGCACAAGACUCUGUGUCACGUGAGGUCUGAGGAAGGGGGUGACCCAGGCGCCAGGUCAGGGGUUCUUGUCGGGCGCUGGGCCUGAGUGAGCAGUAAUGAAGGUGCGCUCCUGACCCCGCCUGGAUCUGGGGGAAGCCCUCUGGCCACGUGGCCUCCACCUCCUCCCUGGAGGGGCAGGAGGAGGGCCGGGCCCCGGGGGGCUCCUCUCACCGAGGCAGGUGGGCAGGGGCUCCAUUCCUGUGAAGUUCUCCCUGAUGUGCAUCUUCGCCUCUCCAUCCUGGCCUUGGAUCUAGAGGCAGAAAAGUGCAGAAGGAAGGGAGGAUCAGCUACGCCGACUUUGUCUGGUUUUUGAUCUCUGAGGAAGACAAAAAAACACCAACCAGCAUCGAGUACUGGUUCCGCUGCAUGGACCUAGAUGGGGACGGCGCCCUGUCCAUGUUCGAGCUCGAGUACUUCUACGAGGAGCAGUGCCGAAGGCUGGACAGCAUGGCCAUCGAGGCCCUGCCCUUCCAGGACUGCCUCUGCCAGAUGCUGGACCUGGUCAAGCCGAGGACCGAAGGGAAGAUCACGCUGCGGGACCUGAAGCGCUGCAAGCUGGCCAACGUCUUCUUCGACACCUUCUUCAACAUCGAGAAGUACCUCGACCAUGAGCAGAAAGAGCAGAUCUCCCUGCUCAGGGUGAGUGCGGUGGGCACGCGGGCGGGGCCGCACCUGCUGCGUACGUAACCUGUGUGCUUCCUCCAGGACGGUGACAGCAGCGGCCCCGAGCUCUCGGACUGGGAGAAGUACGCGGCCGAGGAGUACGACAUCCUGGUGGCUGAGGAGACUGCGGGAGAGCCCUGGGAGGACGGGUGAGUGGGGAGACGGGUGAGUGGGGGACGGGUGAGUGCGGGGACGGGUGAGUGCGGGGACGGGUGAGUGCGGGGACGGGUGAGUGCGGGGACGGGUGAAUGUGCAGCUGGGGGGAUGCAGGGCCAGUCAGGUGGGGCGCGUGGACACGGCAGGGUGGGGUGAGACCUGACACGGGGCCGGUGAGUAAGGACAGCCGAUGACAGGGGCGGGCCUCGGUGCAGCCUCCCUGCGGCACCACCUGUUUACCGCAGCUCGGUGGCGGGACCCGGGAGCCCCCCGCCCAUCGCCCCCUGCGUGGGGUUUUGUGAUCCUGGGUCCGAGGCUUCGCACAUCAGGCCAAGCAUGGGGAGGCCGAGUCAAGACGCAUUUCGCCAGCAAUGUCUGUCCUUAGCCCACGGCUGCCACCUGCUGGGGAGGCUGCAGGGCCCGUGGCCAUUCCGGGGCCCACUUCGGCCUUCCAGCCUCGGAGGCCCCAAGAGGCAAUGGGCUGGUUGCUUUCUCACGGAGUGUGAGGGUUCUUCGGGUCUUCAGGAUACAGGCCCUUUAUUUGCGACGUGUUCGCCUUUUCCCAGUUUGUGACGUAUGUUUUCACCCUCUUCACGUCGUGUCUCAGAGAUGUUCUGAAUUUAGAGGAAGACACGCUGACUGGUUAUUUUUACAGCUGUGUUUUUGGUGUCGUGUCUAAGAAUUCAUUCCUGAAUCCAAAGCCACAAAGAUUUUCCUCCGCGAUGUUUUGCAUUUUGGUCUGGGGUGUGCUUGAGUAACCUUCCUGUGAGGUGUGAAGCUCGGAUUCAGGUUCCCCUUGUAGGUGGGUGUGUCCGACUGUCCCAGCACCAGCUUUGCAAGGCUGCAGCGUCGCCUCGGCACCGUGAUUGUGCCGUGUGCGGGCUCCGUUCCUGAACCUUCCUCCGUUCCACGGCCGCACGCGUCCGUCCGUUCCCGCUGCAGAGCUGACUGCAGUGAGAAGCCUCCAACUUGGGUGCCGUGUGGAACUGUCGGGGCCAUUCUGGUGUUUGGCUGCCUGUGUGAAUCUUAGACUCAGCCCGUCCGUGCUCUGCCGUCCUGUGGGAAUGUGUGUUGGACUGUGACGUCGUGGUGAGCGCUGGUCCUGUGACCACGUAGACUCUGGUCCUCACCAGCCUCCCGUGGUGCACGCUGGAGCGAUGUGGUCACUUUUGCCAUCCUGUGCUGGGCUUCUCGAUGCUCUUCUGUCCCGCGCUAUGGCGGCUAUUCUGGUUUCUUUGCCUUUGUAUGAAAACACGUAAGAAUAAGCUCCUUCUGGCCGGGCGCGGUGGCUCACGCCUGUAAUCCCAGCACUUUGGGAGGCCGAGGGGGGUGGAUCACAAGGUCAGGAGAUCGAGACCUUCCUGGCUAACACGGUGAAACCCCGUCUCUACUAAAAUACAAAAAAAAAAAAAAGAAAGAAAGAAAAAUGAGCCGGGCGUGGUGGCGGGCGCCUGUAGUCCCAGCUACUCGGGAGGCUGAGGCAGGAGAAUGGCGGGAACCCGGGAGGCGGAGCUUACAGUGAGCCGAGAUCACGCCACUGCACUGCAGCCUGGGUGACAGAGUGAGACUCCGUCUCAAAAAAAAAAAAAAAGGCCCGGGAUGGUGGCUCAUGCCUGUGAUCCCAGCUACUCGGGAGGUGGAGGUUGCAGUGAGCCAAGAUCGUGCCACCGCACUCCAGCCUGGGCAACAAGAAGGAAACUCCAUCUCAAAAAAAAAAAAACACAGAAUCUGAACUUGUGACGACAUCUCGCUGAGCGAAUGGAUCCCUGUGGGCCCAGCUGCCGUGUUCAUAGCCGCGGGAGGCCCAGUCCACAGGCGCCGUCCGUGUUUCUCGGCAGGAUUUUUGUAGCUUUCUGUGUAGACUUGAUGUGAAUGUUGUGGGACUUGUAUUCGAGUGUUUCUGAGGUUUUGCUGUGGUCAACGCUACUUUUAAGGUGCCCGUUUCCAGUUGUUCGUUGGUAGCAUAUAGAAUUUAUUGACCUUGUGUUUUGCGACUUUAUGAAACACACUUACUAGAUCUCAAAGCUCUCUGUCGGUUCUUUGGGGUUUUCUCCGUGGACAGCCCAUGCCUGUCAGUGGGUUUGUUUCUCGUCUUCCUUUUCACCCCUGUGUACAUUACUUUCUUUUCACCCCUGUGUACGUCACUUUCUCUUGCCCGAUGCACGGCCUGGAACCCGCAGGCUGAUGUGGACGUCAGGGCAGACCACGCCCAGCCUUGAGUGAGCCUUGAGUGAGGUUUGUGUGCCGCCCUCGUUCCCAGUCCUGGGGGACGUCUCCCCUCACGCAGCGGUAAACACGCUCAUUGGCGAGGAUGUUCCGGCCUGUGCCUGGUCUGCGGAGGGUUUCCCACAGUGGGGGCCGCGUUUUCUCAGAUGCUGUUGCUCCGUGGUUCCUGUGUCUGCCCAUACAGCGAGUUACAGCGAGUCAUUUUCAGCCAGCCUUGUGUUCCCAGGAUAGAUCUGAGUCGUAUGUUAUCCUUACAUAUUAUUGGGUUGUCUUUGCAGAGAUCAUCUGUAGUAUUUUAUUAUUUUUUUUGAGACAGGGUCUUGCUCUGUCACCCAGGCUAGAGGGCGGUGGUGUGAUCUCGGCUCACUGCAACCUCCGCCUCCCGGGUUCAAGCGAUGCUCCUGCCUCAGCCUCCGUAGUAGCUGGGAUGACAGGCAUCUGCCACCAUGCCUGGCUAAUUUUUGUGUUUUUAGUAGAGAUGGGGUUUCGCCAUGUUGGCCAGGCUGGUCUCGAACUCCUGACCUCAGGUCAUCCGCCCGCCUCGGCCUCUCACAGUGCUGGGUUGAGUGAGCUUUGCUGGUUUGUGUGUUGCAGAAACUUGCCCAUUCACAUCAGUGAGUUAUUGCUGGUAUUUCCUGCUUGUGACAUUAACGUCUGCAGAGUCCGCAGUGAUGGCGUCUCUCACGCUGCUGAUACCGACGUGUCUGUGUGUGGUCAGUGAGGCGAGGGGACGGUGAGGUUCCCUGAACUUCUCAAGGAACCACAACCACCACUGGUUUUUCUCCCCUUUGUUCUGCUGUUUCCCUUCUCUCGAGUAUCUUCAGGCAGCAACUUGGGCCACUGACACCGCAGCCCGGCCUUCUCGUUUUGCUGCAGCUCAAAAUACUUUCUGGUUACCAUUUGGUUCCCGACCCACAGGUUCCACGGACGUGCAUUUUAACCCCUGCUCCCCCAUCAGCCGCCCCGUCCGAUUCCUGCCAAGCAGCACGGGGCCCCCGCGGCCCACCCUGGGCCGUCUGUCCUGUGUGUCCGUCCUCCUCGUGGUCAUCGUUUGCACAGUGGCUGCGACCUGGCAGCCAACCUCUGGGUCCCCACUCCCCACAGCUUCCCAGACGCUGCUGGCCACGUCUUCACUGUCCUCUUGUUGCAGGUUCGAGGCCGAGCUCAGCCCUGUGGAGCAGAAGCUGAGUGCGCUGCGGUCCCCACUGGCCCAGAGGACCUUCUUCGAGGCGCCCUCGCCCCUGGGCGCCAUGGACCUGUACGAGUAUGCGUGCGGGGACGAGGACCUGGAGCCACUGUGACACCACCUGUGAGAACGCUGCCACGGGGCCACGCCACACAUGCCACGGCCACCACCAGGACUCCUGUAAAAACUGUUGUCUUUUGUGGAAAAUGAGUGCGUUUGUAUGGAAUGAUAAAUUUUUAUUUAUUCAC